GGUUUUAUGGUCUAAUGGUUAUGACUCCGUUGUUUUGGGCUUGGAAGUCCAGGUUCGAUUCCUGGUAAAACCU
This 73-nucleotide transfer RNA is filed under the name Klosneuvirus KNV1. RNAcentral describes it as "tRNA-Lys". It matches the Rfam family "tRNA". Rfam says of the family: Transfer RNA (tRNA) molecules are approximately 80 nucleotides in length. Lineage: Varidnaviria; Bamfordvirae; Nucleocytoviricota; Megaviricetes; Imitervirales; Mimiviridae. The record is from RNAcentral.